This 1432-nucleotide ribosomal RNA is filed under the name uncultured bacterium. RNAcentral describes it as "bacterial SSU rRNA". It matches the Rfam family "Bacterial small subunit ribosomal RNA". The record is from RNAcentral.
AGAGUUUGAUCCUGGCUCAGGACGAACUUUGGCGGCGUGCCUAAUACAUGCAAGUCGAGCGAGCUUGCCUAGAUGAUUUUAGUGCUUGCACUAAAUGAAACUAGAUACAAGCGAGCGGCGGACGGGUGAGUAACACGUGGGUAACCUGCCCAAGAGACUGGGAUAACACCUGGAAACAGAUGCUAAUACCGGAUAACAACACUAGACGCAUGUCUAGAGUUUGAAAGAUGGUUCUGCUAUCACUCUUGGAUGGACCUGCGGUGCAUUAGCUAGUUGGUAAGGUAACGGCUUACCAAGGCGAUGAUGCAUAGCCGAGUUGAGAGACUGAUCGGCCACAAUGGAACUGAGACACGGUCCAUACUCCUACGGGAGGCAGCAGUAGGGAAUCUUCCACAAUGGGCGCAAGCCUGAUGGAGCAACACCGCGUGAGUGAAGAAGGGUUUCGGCUCGUAAAGCUCUGUUGUUGGAGAAGAACGUGCGUGAGAGUAACUGUUCACGCAGUGACGGUAUCCAACCAGAAAGUCACGGCUAACUACGUGCCAGCAGCCGCGGUAAUACGUAGGUGGCAAGCGUUAUCCGGAUUUAUUGGGCGUAAAGCGAGCGCAGGCGGUUGCUUAGGUCUGAUGUGAAAGCCUUCGGCUUAACCGAAGAAGUGCAUCGGAAACCGGGCGACUUGAGUGCAGAAGAGGACAGUGGAACUCCAUGUGUAGCGGUGGAAUGCGUAGAUAUAUGGAAGAACACCAGUGGCGAAGGCGGCUGUCUGGUCUGCAACUGACGCUGAGGCUCGAAAGCAUGGGUAGCGAACAGGAUUAGAUACCCUGGGUAGUCCAUGCCGUAAACGAUGAGUGCUAGGUGUUGGAGGGUUUCCGCCCUUCAGUGCCGGAGCUAACGCAUUAAGCACUCCGCCUGGGGAGUACGACCGCAAGGUUGAAACUCAAAGGAAUUGACGGGGGCCCGCACAAGCGGAGGAACAUGUGGUUUAAUUCGAUGAUACGCGAGGAACCUUACCCGGGCUCAAACGACGGAUGGAUGUUUCCGAAAGGAGGCAGUCCUACGGGACAUCCGUCGAGGUGCUGCAUGGUUGUCGUCAGCUCGUGCCGUGAGAUGUUGGGUUAAGUCCCGCAACGAGCGCAACCCUUAUCUUCAGUAGCCAGCAGGUAAAGCCGGGCACUCUGGAGAGACUGCCGGGGAUAACCCGGAGGAAGGUGGGGAUGACGUCAAAUCAUCAUGCCCCUUAUGAUUUGGGCUACACACGUGCUACAAUGGCGUAAACAGAGGGAAGCGAGCCCGCGAGGGGGAGCAAAUCCCAAAAAUAACGUCCCAGUUCGGAUUGUAGUCUGCAACCCGACUACAUGAAGCUGGAAUCGCUAGUAAUCGCGGAUCAGCACGCCGCGGUGAAUACGUUCCCGGGCCUUGCACACACCGCCCGUCA